RNAcentral lists this ribosomal RNA (564 nucleotides) under Triticum aestivum (bread wheat). RNAcentral's name for it is "partial small subunit ribosomal RNA". Lineage: Eukaryota; Viridiplantae; Streptophyta; Magnoliopsida; Poales; Poaceae. The record is from RNAcentral.
AUGGUUUCAUGCAAACCUAGCCGCAAAUGUGGUGAUUUUUUACAAUUGACUCCCAAGAAGGUGCCGGUGCUGGUCCACGACGGCAAGCCCAUCGCCGAGUCCACCGUCAUCGUCGAGUACAUCGACGAGGCGUGGAAGGACGGCUACCCCAUCAUGCCGGCCGAUCCCUACGACCGGGCUCAGGCCAGGUUCUGGGCCAGGUUCGCCGACGACAAGUGCAACGCCGCCAUCUACCCGGUCUUCACGGCGACCGGCGAGGCGCAGCGCGAGGUGGUGCGCGAGGCCCAGCGGUGCCUGAAGACGCUGGAGAAGGCCCUGGUGGGGAAGAAGUUCGGGGGCGACGCCGUCGGCUACCUCGACGUCGUGCUUGGGUGGUACGCGCACUGGCUGCCGAUCAUCGAGGAGGUCUCCGGCGCCAGCGUGGUCACCGACGAGGAGCUGCCUCUGAUGAAGGCCUGGUUCGGCCGGUUCCUGGCCGUCGACGUGGUGAAGGAGACCCUGCCGCCGAGGGACAAGCUCCUGGCGCUCAACAAGGCUCGCCGUGAGCAGCUGCUCUCGGCCUAG